CCGGCGAACAGACUGAAAUACUACUGAAAUUACUUCGUUUUCCCCUAGAAGUCAAACUAUGAAAUGCUUUAUAGUCCAUAAACUAAGCAGGCGGAGAGACUUUUGUUCCUGAAGAGAGAGGUUGGCCUAGUUGGGCGGGGCUUAGUGUAACAACUUUAUUCUCCAGUAGAUGGCGCUGCUUAGCUUACUGGGGUGGAUUCUUGUGGCGCUUUUAGGUGCGUAUGCGGAUGCGCGGGACUGAUGAACAUGGCGCCGCCCAGCUACCCGUUCUCUAGUAUUGGAACUGUGCUCUCCCCGCCCCAGCAAUAGCGCACCCAUCCUUUGUCUUCCGUCCACUCCGCGCUUUUACACUGUCCCUGACCAAGCCCCAGGCAGCACCUCCCUCCUUAUUUUUGUCUCCGGUGCGGCUGUUUUCCCUCGGCCCCUUACUUGUGAGGGACUGCGGUUUUGACCCGUUCUGCCCUCCUGCGGGAGGGUCUCACCGAGAAAUGGCCGUCUGCCAGCUGCACCCAGGAAUAUUUGCGGGACCGGGCUGCUGCCGGUGCCCGGAGACUAUGGCCGGGUACCAGCCCACCCCAGAAAAAGUUUGUGAGACAGUAUAGCAGCAGUGUUUCAGGGAUUAUGGCAAAUCACAACAUGCAUCUGGCAUCAGGCUUCACCCCCAACGACUUUGUUCCAGCGCCAGCAAAUGUGGUUGUUCUCCCGGGUUCACUGGGGCCUUUUCCUGUGGGGGGCCACACAGCCUCUACCAGAUGUGCUCCCAGCAGGAGAAUCACCUGUCCCUGCGUGGCCUGAAGACCACCAGACUUCACUCGGCUCCUGGGGAUUCACCCUUCCCACCAGAGCACCACCAGAUCUCUUGCUCAGGGGAAAACUGGCUGCCAUAUUUUGAACAGUCCUAUGGAGAAGACUACUUGGUGAGAAAUGGAGGUCUCCAAAUAAGCUGAGAGAAACUGAGGUUCAGCCAUGUAAGUGAGCCCUCUUAGAAGUGGAUCCUCCAGCCUCAGUCAAGCCUUCAGAUGACUACUGUCCUGGCCAACAUCUUGAUUGCAACCUCAUGGGAGAUCCUGAGCCAGAAACACCCAAAUAAACCAGUCCUGGAUUCCUGAUUCUCAGAAGCUGUUUGAGAUAAUAAAUGUUUGUUGUUUUAAGCCACUGUAGCAAAAGAUAAUAAAAUAACGUUCUAUAGCACAA
Long non-coding RNA from Herpailurus yagouaroundi (jaguarundi), 1194 nucleotides. RefSeq lists it as uncharacterized. Lineage: Eukaryota; Metazoa; Chordata; Mammalia; Carnivora; Felidae. The transcript is spliced from 2 exons. The record is from RefSeq and is a predicted model, not a curated record.